AUAUCCAUCACGAAUAACUUUUUUUCUGGAAAAUUCUCACCAAAAUGCUUUUGUACGCUUGUAAACAAUAUAAUGAGCUGUCACUGGAAUAAUUUUAACAGCUGUCGGACAAUUGGCUUAGAAAUGACAGCAGUCUGAAGUUGGUUGCAGUUUUUUUCAUGUUAUGUCUAAAAUGAUUAUUUUGAUGAGUUACAAACGGAAUGACGAACUUAAUACACCCUCCACACUAUAUAUGGUAGAGGGUAUAAAUACGGCACUCGUGAACCACUCUACCAACCCAACUCACAAUCCAGACUUUGAGUAUGUGAAAGUAUCAAAGAGUGAAGCACAUCUCAGCAAACGGUACACAAUGGCCAUGAUGUGCCAUUCUCAAUGUGCCAGUCAAGUAGUUACGAAAUAUCGAGAGAAUUGAAGAAAAUAUUUAUAAUAAUCUGACCUCGAGCUCAAAGAAUUAUUCAAUUAAUUAACACCUUUUUCCUUGCACUGGCGCUUCUUCUAGUUACAAUUCUGGUUUGCCCUCUCAUGUUCUAUUUCUUUUAAAAUUCAUAACUCUCUUUCUCUCUCUCUCACUGCUGUGUGAUUGUUACUUUGCUUGCUCUAAUCAUAGGUAUACUAGUGGCAACGGUAUUGCCAAUGUUUCUACAAUUAGCAUAACAAGAGAAAGAGAGUAACUAUGGGAGAAGAAUAAUAAGGAACAGAGUUUAUGUGGGGUAUGUUCAGUGAAAUUUAAUGUAGUGUUUCUCACAUAAUCACGGUAUUUUUGCAGAAGUAUUUAAAAGACUUCAAUUUUAGGGGCUAGCAGUCCGCUCGCCAUUACAAUUUAAUACCCAUCCAAAUGUAUGCCAAUAGGAAAAAAUGAAAUAACAGUGGUUUAUAGCAUGCCUCUCUCUUUUUUAAAGCAAAAUUUUAUUCUGUGAAGUGUUUUUGAAAGUGCAAGUUGUGAAUAUUGAAAAAAAGUUAAUAAAAUAAAUUAAUAAAAUAAGAAUAUAGUAAGUGUUGUGUGUUAGAAAAGUUAAAUAAAAUGUCAGGAUUCAGUAGGAGAAAUUUAAGACGAUUAAAGAAAGUGGAAGCAGACAAGUUAAAAAGAAAUGCACAGUUGAGGACGGUCUAUUUGGAAAACAAUGAUAUUGUACUAAAUUAGCAAAUUCCAUGCAUUCCAAAAUUGUAGAAGAUUUUGGAAAAUAUGUCAGUAUCUUAAAAAUUAUAAUUUCACCAGAUGGCCUUAUUAAAAACUUCUGCAAGAUUAUUGACAUUUCUAUAAUAUUAUCUUACAACUAUGAUGGUACCCAAAAUAAAAAGUCGUUUAAGGAAUAUAAACUUUUAAACAUGGCCAUUUUCGAAGCUGUCAUAUGUGAAGGAUUCAAUGAACAGGAUUACGCCAAAAAAAUAGAAAUUGUUUCAAAUUCCCUAAGGCCAGACACUUCCGAACCAUGUUCUACAAUAAAAAAACUAGAAAAAAUUAUUAUUUUUAUACCCUACACCACAUAGUGGUAAGGGUAUUAUGUCUUUGUGCAUUUGUUUGUAACAUAGAGAAGGAAACGAGAUAGACCCAUAGUUACUUUUGAGAACCUUCAUAGAAUCACUUUCUGAGUCGAUUUAUGCAUGUCAGUCCGUCUGUCCGUCCGUCUGUCCAUGUAUUCUUGUGAACAAAAUGCAGGUCGCAUUUAUUAUCCGAUUGAGAUGAAAUUUUCCAAACAAUAUUUUUUUGGCCCAAGGACGAACCCUAUUGAAAUUGGUGAGAAUCGGAUCAAAUUUAGAUAUAGCUCCCAUAUAUAUCUUCAUCCGAUUUCGGGUUAAAUGUGCACCAAAUGUCCACUAUCAGUCCAAAUUACUUGAAUUUUGGCACACCCAACCGAGUUCGGCCUAGAAGCAAGUAUAUAAAAAUCGGUUCAGAUAUAGCUAUAGCUCCCAUAUAUAUCUUUCAUCCGAUUUGAUCUUUAAGUCCCUCACAUUCCAACUAUGCACUCCACAACCGUGAUAUUUGGUACCAGGUAUUAGAUGGAGCACAGAAAUACCUGUUUUAAAUUUUAUCGAAAUCGGUUCAGAUUUGGAUAUAGCUUCCAUAUAUAUCUUCAUCCGAUUUCGGGUUAAUUGGCCACCAAAUGGCCAAUAUCAGCCCAAAUGGCCCGAAUUUUGCCACAUGUGACCGAGAUUAGCCUUAAAGCAAAUACAACAAAUUUGGAGAAAAUCGGUUCAGAAACAGCUAUACCUCCCAUAUAUAUAUUUUAUCCGAUUUGGUGUUUAAGCCUCUCACAUUCGUAAUAUGCACUCCACAAGAAUGAUAUUUGGUACCAGAUAAAAGAUACAGCCCAGAAAUAGCUGUUUGUAAUUUUAUCGAAAUCGGUUCAGAUUUGGAUAUAGCUCCCAUAUAUAUCUUCAUCCGAUUUCGGGUUAAUUGUGCACCAAAUGGCCGAAUUCAGUCUAGAAGCUAAUACGUCAAAUUUGGAGAAACCCGGUUCAGAGAUAGCUAUAGUUCGUAAAAUGCACAAUAGAAUUAGAUAGAUUUUGAUUUUAUACCAAAUAUCUCAUAGAGCUCUGAAAUGCCCUGUAUAAACCUUUUUACGAGAGCUCUACUAAAUAUGCAUAGUGGUGUAGGGUAUCAUAUAGUCGGCCCCGCCCGACUUUUGAGUUUUCCUUACUGGUUUUUUCCUUUAGUUUAAGCUUUGUUUUUUCCCACGUCUUUUGAAUAAGUUUUAUGAAUUUCUUUUCUAUGCAUUAUUUCUAAUUAUAAUAAGAAUAUUUUAUUGUUGAAAACACUGUUCUUUAAUACGAAUAUUUUAAUAAAAAACAGCUGAAAUUUAAGUUCCACAAUCUAAAAUGUUGAUGGAAUCGGACCCAUCCAACCUACGCUUACAAUGUUGAUAGAUUUCGGACCCAUCCAACAUUCGCUUACGUUGUCGGUCGAUUUCGGACCCAUCCAACAUUCGCUUACAUUGUCGGUAGAUUUCGGACUCGUCUGACGGCCUAGGCCAUCUCUGUGUAAAUGUAAGUAGAAAUUGUAUACAGGCUUUUGAUGAAUCGCACCUACAUUGUCAUUGGUCUCAGAUGGAAGAUGUAUGUGCUAAAAAAUCCGCUGGGAAUGGGAGGAGAAUAAUAAGGAACAGAGUUUAUGUGGGGUAUGUUCAGUAAAAUUGACUGUAGGGUUUC
Long non-coding RNA from Musca domestica (house fly), 3147 nucleotides. RefSeq lists it as uncharacterized. The record is from RefSeq and is a predicted model, not a curated record. The transcript is spliced from 3 exons. Lineage: Eukaryota; Metazoa; Arthropoda; Insecta; Diptera; Muscidae.